UAGGGAAUCUUCCACAAUGGACGCAAGUCUGAUGGAGCAACGCCGCGUGAGUGAAGAAGGUUUUCGGAUCGUAAAGCUCUGUUGUUGGUGAAGAAGGAUAGAGGCAGUAACUGGUCUUUAUUUGACGGUAAUCAACCAGAAAGUCACGGCUAACUACGUGCCAGCAGCCGCGGUAAUACGUAGGUGGCAAGCGUUGUCCGGAUUUAUUGGGCGUAAAGCGAGCGCAGGCGGAAUGAUAAGUCUGAUGUGAAAGCCCACGGCUCAACCGUGGAACUGCAUCGGAAACUGUCAUUCUUGAGCGCAGAAGAGGAGAGUGGAAUUCCAUGUGUAGCGGUGGAAUGCGUAGAUAUAUGGAAGAACACCAGUGGCGAAGGCGGCUCUCUGGUCUGCAACUGACGCUGAGGCUCGAAAGCAUGGGUAGCGAACAGG
This 429-nucleotide ribosomal RNA is filed under the name bacterium. Its description in RNAcentral is "partial 16S ribosomal RNA". It matches the Rfam family "Bacterial small subunit ribosomal RNA", at positions 355 to 776 of the family's 1533-position model. The record is from RNAcentral.